CUUGACAAACUUAUAAGAGGUCCAGCCUGCCCAGUGACUCUGUUCAACGGCCGCGGUAUCCUAACCGUGCGAAGGUAGCGUAAUCACUUGUUCUUUAAAUGAGGACUAGUAUGAAUGGCACCACGAAGGUUAUACUGUCUCCUUUUUCUAAUCAGUGAAACUAAUCUUCCCGUGAAGAAACGGGAAUAAAAAUAUAAGACGAGAAGACCCUAUGGAGCUUUAAACAAAUAUACACCUGCCUCUUUACCAAAAAUUUCAGAAGACAAGUAAUUACCCGGGCAUUUUGAUAUAGCGUUUUAGGUUGGGGUGACCGCGGAGCAAAAAACAACCUCCGCAGCGAACGGGAGUAUUCCCUAAACCAAGGGCCACAACCCCAAGUAUUGAUAAAUCAACACUAAUUGACCCAAUAAAUUUGAUCAAUGAAC
Molecule: ribosomal RNA, 425 nt
Filed under: Leptodactylus mystaceus group sp. ABGD cluster 49
Lineage: Eukaryota; Metazoa; Chordata; Amphibia; Anura; Leptodactylidae
Description: partial large subunit ribosomal RNA
Rfam family: Bacterial large subunit ribosomal RNA
Source: RNAcentral